RNAcentral lists this ribosomal RNA (114 nucleotides) under Acinetobacter baumannii 25442_9. Lineage: Bacteria; Pseudomonadati; Pseudomonadota; Gammaproteobacteria; Moraxellales; Moraxellaceae. The record is from RNAcentral.
UGGCGACCAUAGCAAGAGUGAACCACCUGAUCCCUUCCCGAACUCAGAAGUGAAACCUCUUAGCGCUGAUGGUAGUGUGGGAUUACACAUGUGAGAGUAAGUCAUCGCCAGCUC